UACGAAGGGGGCUAGCGUUGUUCGGAAUUACUGGGCGUAAAGCGCAUGUAGGCGGUCCUACAAGCCAGGGGUGAAAUCCCGGAGCUCAACUCCGGAAUUGCCUUUGGAACUGUAGGACUGGAGUAUCGGAGGGGAUGGUGGAAUUCCAAGUGUAGAGGUGAAAUUCGUAGAUAUUUGGAGGAACACCGGUGGCGAAGGCGGCCAUCUGGACGAUUACUGACGCUGAGAUGCGAAAGCGUGGGGAGCAAACAGG
RNAcentral lists this ribosomal RNA (253 nucleotides) under uncultured bacterium. RNAcentral describes it as "partial 16S ribosomal RNA". It matches the Rfam family "Bacterial small subunit ribosomal RNA", at positions 524 to 776 of the family's 1533-position model. The record is from RNAcentral.